AACGAACGCUGGCGGCAUGCCUAACACAUGCAAGUCGAACGAGACCUUCGUGUCUAGUGGCGCACGGGUGCGUAACACGUGGGAACCUGCCCUUAGGUUCGGAAUAACUCCCCGAAAGGGGUGCUAAUACCGGAUAAUGUCUUCGGACCAAAGAUUUCUCGCCUUUGGAUGGGCCCGCGUUGGAUUAGGUAGUUGGUAGGGUAAAAGCCUACCAAUGCGACGAUCCAUAGAUGGUCUGAGAGGCUGAUCAGCAACAAUGGGACUGAGACACGGCCAAGACUCCAAAGUGAGGCAGACGUUGAGAAUAGUAGAAAGUGCGAGAAAGCAUAAUCCAGCCAUGACGCGUGAGUGAGGAAGCACUUAGUGUUGUAAAGGUCUUUUACCCGGGAUAAUAAUGACAGUAACGGGAGAAUAAGCUCCGGCUAACUCCGUG
This 433-nucleotide ribosomal RNA is filed under the name uncultured bacterium. Its description in RNAcentral is "partial 16S ribosomal RNA". It matches the Rfam family "Bacterial small subunit ribosomal RNA", at positions 29 to 507 of the family's 1533-position model. The record is from RNAcentral.